UGGAAGCAUCUAGGCCCCAGCAGACACCACGCCUGGGUGCCCCCCAGGCUGUCCUCGGCACACGCCUAUCUCUGGGACCUUGGAGUGGCGUUACUGAAUUGUGGCUCAGGUCUUUCUGUCGGGUCACGUGGGGUGAACACAAACGACCUCGUCCCACAAACGCUGCCGGACGCUGUCCCUAGACUUCUGGGUCCCCACAGAUCUUGCGACAAGAACCGGCUUAAAUAUCCUGCUUGCCCUCCCAAACCUCUGCAGGAAGUCCUGCCUGCCUCCGUGGAAAGCUGGCUCAGCUCUGCCCCUGCAGCCUGGCCCUGGCCGUGGCUUUGGCUGGGCUCCUCUCUUUCGGGAGCUGCCUGGCAGACUGUAUCCUCCAGGAUCACCCUGGUUACCUUGACAACUGGGUCUGGCCUUCCUCCUCCCUCCCCAGCCACUGCUGAACUUGGCCUCCAUGCACUUGCCCAGGCAGUGUGCCUGUCCUUCCACUUGCCUGCCCUCCCCAGCAUUGCCAAGUUUAGUUCACCUAGUUCAUGUGCUGCCAUCUCCCAGCCUUCCUGGAGCCCCGUAUGGGCUCUACUUCCCAACUCCCUUGGACUGAGAGACUGUGAGCUCCUCGAGGGCAGGAACACAAUUGCUUCUCAAUAAAUAUGUGUUGCAGAAAAGGAAUGGAUGAGCUGCUGUGAUUUUGUCAGGGUUUGGUUGACUCACCAGAUGUCCCUCUGGUCGGGUGACCCAGAGCACAGGCGCGGCUCCCACC
Molecule: long non-coding RNA, 754 nt
Filed under: Dasypus novemcinctus (nine-banded armadillo)
Lineage: Eukaryota; Metazoa; Chordata; Mammalia; Cingulata; Dasypodidae
Description: lncRNA (ENSDNOG00000051039.1)
Source: RNAcentral